GGCAGGGACCGCAUGUGCACCAACCUUGGUCCUGCAACACAGUAAUCAAUUGCGGGGGCGUAGUCGUCCGACCCGGCGACGCGAUCAUCGGUGACCAAGAUGGCGCCGUCGUGAUUCCUGCGUCCCAUGCCCAGCAGGUUUAUGACAUCGCUCACAGCAGAGAAGUGAUCGAGGAAAUCGUAAAGGAGGAACUUACCAAGAAUCCUGGACCCCCUGGCAAGUUUUACCCCUUCAUGUCUGGCAAAAUAAAACCAAACUCUCCUCUCGGUCAACUUCUAACUUCCAAAGGAGUCAAGUUCGUACACUGUGCAGCUCGCCCCGGAACGCGACUGGGCGUUCCAAC
Molecule: long non-coding RNA, 343 nt
Filed under: Micromonas commoda
Lineage: Eukaryota; Viridiplantae; Chlorophyta; Mamiellophyceae; Mamiellales; Mamiellaceae
Description: long non-coding RNA (MCOM_LNC000046)
Source: RNAcentral